This 466-nucleotide ribosomal RNA is filed under the name uncultured bacterium. RNAcentral describes it as "partial 16S ribosomal RNA". It matches the Rfam family "Bacterial small subunit ribosomal RNA", at positions 28 to 507 of the family's 1533-position model. The record is from RNAcentral.
GAUGAACGCUGGCGGCGUGCUUAACACAUGCAAGUCGAACGUUGAAGCCCAGCUUGCUGGGUGGAUUAGUGGCGAACGGGUGAGUAACACGUGAGUAACCUGCCCUUAACUCUGGGAUAAGCCUGGGAAACUGGGUCUAAUACCGGAUAGGAGCGUCCACCGCAUGGUGGGUGUUGGAAAGAUUUAUCGGUUUUGGAUGGACUCGCGGCCUAUCAGCUUGUUGGUGAGGUAAUGGCUCACCAAGGCGACGACGGGUAGCCGGCCUGAGAGGGUGACCGGCCACACUGGGACUGAGACACGGCCCAGACUCCUACGGGAGGCAGCAGUGGGGAAUAUUGCACAAUGGGCGCAAGCCUGAUGCAGCGACGCCGCGUGAGGGAUGACGGCCUUCGGGUUGUAAACCUCUUUCAGUAGGGAAGAAGCGAAAGUGACGGUACCUGCAGAAGAAGCACCGGCUAACUACGUG